This 253-nucleotide ribosomal RNA is filed under the name uncultured bacterium. RNAcentral's name for it is "partial 16S ribosomal RNA". It matches the Rfam family "Bacterial small subunit ribosomal RNA", at positions 524 to 776 of the family's 1533-position model. The record is from RNAcentral.
UACGUAGGUGGCAAGCGUUGUCCGGAAUUAUUGGGCGUAAAGCGCGCGCAGGUGGUGCGGUAAGUCUGCCGUGAAAUCUCCCGGCUCAACUGGGAGGGGGCGGUGGAGACUGCCGGACUAGAGGGACUCAGAGGCCGGUGGAAUUCCCGGUGUAGUGGUGAAAUGCGUAGAGAUCGGGAGGAACACCAGUGGCGAAGGCGGCCGGCUGGGGGUGCACUGACGCUGAGGCGCGAAAGCGUGGGGAGCGAACCGG